This is a transfer RNA of Colletotrichum gloeosporioides Cg-14, 95 nucleotides long. It matches the Rfam family "tRNA". Rfam says of the family: Transfer RNA (tRNA) molecules are approximately 80 nucleotides in length. Their secondary structure includes four short double-helical elements and three loops (D, anti-codon, and T loops). Further hydrogen bonds mediate the characteristic L-shaped molecular structure. tRNAs have two regions of fundamental functional importance: the anti-codon, which is responsible for specific mRNA codon recognition, and the 3' end, to which the tRNAs corresponding amino acid is attached (by aminoacyl-tRNA synthetases). tRNAs cope with the degeneracy of the genetic code in two manners: having more than one tRNA (with a specific anti-codon) for a particular amino acid; and 'wobble' base-pairing, i.e. permitting non-standard base-pairing at the 3rd anti-codon position. The record is from Rfam. NCBI's taxonomy places the organism in Eukaryota, Fungi, Ascomycota, Sordariomycetes, Glomerellales, Glomerellaceae.
GUCUCCGUAGCUCAGUAGGUAGAGCAGCAGUCUCAUGGCAUUAUUAGUGUGGUGAUGGUAGCUGAAGGUCGUCAGUUCGAGUCUGACCGGAGACA